CUCCAGCCGGGGGCGGGGCCCGGGGGGCACUGAAAACCCCCCAGGUCCCCUCAGUGCCCCACACACCUGAGACCCCCCCCCACGGGACCCCCAUGGCACCUCCACCGCCCCCCGGCCACCUCAGCCUGGCCCGCGGGGUCCAGCCCCCCCUGUACCAGGACGCCGUUGCCCGCCGGGCUCUGCGGCCCGCGCUGCUCAGGAGCGUUUCGGUGCCGGCCGAGCCCCCCGCGCCCCCCGCCAUGGAUGUCACCUACGCCGUGGUCAACAAGCCCCGCCGAGGGGGCGGGGCCGCGGGGAGAGGCCCCUCCCCUUUAAGACGAGAUCACGCCCCCUUCGGACGAGACUCCGCCCCCUCGGGCACGUGCUCGCUGCCGGGCAGCCCCGUGCGCCGCCCCUCCCCCAGCCCGGCAGGCUCCCCCAGACCCUCGGAUGGCGCCUACGAGGUUGUGACCCCCCCUGUGGACACCGGCAGUGGCCCCUGCCUGGGUGAGCACAGGGGGGGUCUCGGUCUCUGGAAAGGGUUUGGGGGGUCCUGGAGGGGUUUAGGGGAGACAUCAAUGUCCAGCCCCCCUCACUGACCCCCUGCUCCUCCCUCCAGGGUUUAAUUUCCGCAUUGGGAAGCCCAAGGGCCCGCGGGACCCCCCGGCCGAGUGGUCCCAGGUGUGAGGAGGGGUCCGGAUCCUUGAGCCCCCCCCACAGAGGAGGGGCUGCAGCAGAACCCGGCUGAUCCUUACAGAAACCGAUAUAGACAAAAACGAUUUAUUAUCACAAAUAAAAACUGAUGGUGAGAAUCCUGGCCGUGCCUG
This 806-nucleotide long non-coding RNA is filed under the name Junco hyemalis (dark-eyed junco). RNAcentral's name for it is "lncRNA (ENSJHYG00000008449.1)". The record is from RNAcentral. Lineage: Eukaryota; Metazoa; Chordata; Aves; Passeriformes; Passerellidae.